This 380-nucleotide unclassified non-coding RNA is filed under the name uncultured Pseudomonadota bacterium. Its description in RNAcentral is "uncultured proteobacterium contains 16S-23S intergenic spacer region". Lineage: Bacteria; Pseudomonadati; Pseudomonadota. The record is from RNAcentral.
UCCGGCUUAUCACCGGCAGUUUCUUUAGAGUGCUCAACUAAAUGGUAGCAACUAAAGACGAGGGUUGCGCUCGUUGCGGGACUUAACCCAACAUCUCACGACACGAGCUGACGACAGCCAUGCAGCACCUGUGUGUAGGUCCCGUAAGGGAAGGAAUCCAUCUCUGGAAACCGUCCUACCAUGUCAAACGCUGGUAAGGUUCUGCGCGUUGCUUCGAAUUAAACCACAUAAUCCACCGCUUGUGCGGGUCCCCGUCAAUUCCUUUGAGUUUUAACCUUGCGGCCGUACUCCCCAGGCGGGGUGCUUAAUGCGUUAGCUGCGGCACAGAUCGCGUGGAAUACGACCUACACCUAGCACCCACCGUUUACGGCGUGGACUAC